RNAcentral lists this ribosomal RNA (640 nucleotides) under uncultured bacterium. RNAcentral describes it as "bacterial SSU rRNA". The stretch from base 1 to 542 matches the Rfam family "Bacterial small subunit ribosomal RNA", at positions 338 to 873 of the family's 1533-position model. The record is from RNAcentral.
CCUACGGGAGGCAGCAGUGGGGAAUUUUGGACAAUGGGCGCAAGCCUGAUCCAGCAAUGCCGCGUGAGUGAAGAAGGCCUUCGGGUUGUAAAGCUCUUUUGUCAGGGAAGAAACGGUCUACUCUAAUACAGUGGGCUAAUGACGGUACCUGAAGAAUAAGCACCGGCUAACUACGUGCCAGCAGCCGCGGUAAUACGUAGGGUGCAAGCGUUAAUCGGAAUUACUGGGCGUAAAGCGUGCGCAGGCGGUUAUAUAAGUCAGAUGUGAAAUCCCCGGGCUCAACCUGGGAACUGCAUUUGAGACUGUAUGGCUAGAGUGUGUCAGAGGGGGGUAGAAUUCCACGUGUAGCAGUGAAAUGCGUAGAUAUGUGGAGGAAUACCGAUGGCGAAGGCAGCCCCCUGGGAUAACACUGACGCUCAUGCACGAAAGCGUGGGGAGCAAACAGGAUUAGAUACCCUGGUAGUCCACGCCCUAAACGAUGUCUACUAGUUGUCGGGACUUAAUUGUCUUGGUAACGCAGCUAACGCGUGAAGUAGACCGCCUGGGGGAGGUACGGUCGCGAGAAGUUAAAACGUUAAAAGUUAAGUAAGUUAGUACGGACGUGAGACGUAGACCGACGGACGACGACGAGGGGAGGAGG